Molecule: long non-coding RNA, 931 nt
Filed under: Homo sapiens (human)
Lineage: Eukaryota; Metazoa; Chordata; Mammalia; Primates; Hominidae
Description: lymphatic endothelial transcriptional regulator lncRNA 1
Source: RNAcentral
CAGGUGGGGCCGCACCUGCGCGACAGCCCGCCGCUUCCCUCCGCUCCCUUCGCCGCGCCUCGCGUGCUAGCGGUGCCCUUGUGAGCCACUGCGUUCUCCAAGGCCAGAACGGGACAGUUGACGAUGGUCGUACUUCUCCAUGUUCUGAGACCAGUUUAAACAAAAACAAAAACCAGACAACAACCUUGCAAGGGAAAGAAUUCAGAGUAAAUAAACAGUCUUUUUCUGGGAAGUAAAAUAUUUCCCUAAGAUGGAGAAAUUGAGAUGAGAGCUCAUCCACAAGAUUACCCAUCAAUGAGCACCAAUAGCAACCAAAUCCACUAGAAGACUGGGAGCUUUUAAGUCAAGAAACUUACAUCAGUAUCAUCAUUCCAAGAAGCGGUAUCCAAGCUGUUUUAUCGAAAGUGCGCAUGGGAGAUAAGACUCUGAGAAUUUAUAGAAACAAACAUUAGAAGGCAGGAAUGUGGAGAGAAGAAAGCUACCUGACAAGGGAAUCUCAGGAUACAAGGAAAACACCAAGGUGAAGACACUUAAAGAAGGUGACAUAUGACCACAAGAAUUAAGAACAAACAGGGAAACAUGAUAUCACAAGAAAAAAAUAUGAAGCCAGUGACUAACCCUGAAGGGACAGAGAAGAAUGUACUGCCUGACAAAGAAUUCAACAUUUCUAUUUUAAAGAAGGUCAGUAAACUUCAAGAAGAAACAGAGGAACAACCUAGAAAUUUAUUAGAGAUAUUUAACAGAAAAAUUAAUUUAACAGAAAAAUUAAAAUAAUAAAAAAAUUAAAACAUAUUAUAGAGCUGAAAAAUAUAAUAAAUAAAUACAAUAGAAAGCAUUAACAGCAGAAUUGAUCUAUCAAAAUAAAGAACCUGAAUGCAAAGACAGGUUAGGUUAUUUGAAAAUACACAUACAAGGAAGAAUAAAGAAAAAA